UACGUAGGGUGCAAGCGUUAAUCGGAAUUACUGGGCGUAAAGCGUGCGCAGGCGGUGAUGUAAGACAGGUGUGAAAUCCCCGGGCUUAACCUGGGAACUGCAUUUGUGACUGCAUCGCUGGAGUGCGGCAGAGGGGGGUGGAAUUCCACGUGUAGCAGUGAAAUGCGUAGAGAUGUGGAGGAACACCGAUGGCGAAGGCAGCCCCCUGGGAUGAGACUGACGCUCAUGUACGAAAGCGUGGGGAGCAAACAGG
RNAcentral lists this ribosomal RNA (253 nucleotides) under uncultured bacterium. RNAcentral describes it as "partial 16S ribosomal RNA". It matches the Rfam family "Bacterial small subunit ribosomal RNA", at positions 524 to 776 of the family's 1533-position model. The record is from RNAcentral.